Molecule: microRNA precursor, 102 nt
Filed under: Manduca sexta (tobacco hornworm)
Lineage: Eukaryota; Metazoa; Arthropoda; Insecta; Lepidoptera; Sphingidae
Description: microRNA mse-mir-283 precursor
Gene: mse-mir-283
Source: miRBase by way of RNAcentral
AGCGAUAACAUCCAGUAUGCGGUGUCCGACUAAAUAUCAGCUGGUAAUUCUGGGUCAUUACCUCCCAGACUGCCAUCUGGUAUGAAGUCUAACACCGCGCUA